GUUCAGGCUUCUGAAAACAGGUCCUGAUUAAGAGCCAGCUCCAUGUCACGUCCUGGAGCUCAGGAAAGAGGGCCGAGCAGAGGGUCCUCCUUCCCGCAGCGCAUGGGCCAGCACAGGCGACCCUCGGCCUCAGCAGGGGACCCGCUUUGUGGGUUGUGCCACCUGGGACAGCCACACUGUGCCACAGGGUAGGUCCUGUGGGGGAAAGUUCUGCUGGAUAGAUGAUACUGCUGGGAAAGGAGACUGUGGGGAGGAUUCGUCUCAGUUCACUUCACCCAUCUGGAAGUUAAGCAUCUAAUCUUGUCUCUGUAAUCAGCAGGGUGAUGAGGAAGGUGAUCUCUCCCCUUGCCUUAAGUGUUCCUCUGGAAAGGGCUGGACCAUCUCUGGCAGCUUUGUGCCCCUCAACUGGCAAAGGGGCUGGCUGGCAGCACCCCUGCAUGGCUGAGCCCGGAGAGAAGGGUCCCGUCUUCACACCAUCACGACCAAGCAGCAAUGCUGGGAGGGUAGAGAAAACAGAAGUUUGUGGUCCUGCCUUCAGGAUGUAAGCCGCUCACAUUUUAAUAGAGGAAGCCCAGAUCACACACACACACUCAAACACGGCUUGUGCCAAGGCAGGCUGGGACUUGGUAUGUUGAUAAAUUCCAGCAAAAACAUUGAUGUUCAGCUGCAUCAACCAAAUAUUAUAUGGGUAGCUACAAAAAGCUAGGCAGAGACGUGACGCUUCCUCAGCCAAAGCUGGUGGUUUUCCCUCCUCUGGCCAGCUCAUGGGGAGGGCAGGGAGAGAAAGAGGAAGCAUAGCCUUGUAUACCCUUUUCAACUCCUUUUUGCUCUCCCUAGUGGCAUCGAACAUUUCCGUAGCUGCCAAGCUUUUAUCCACUCUGUAUGUGACAUUUCAUGCCAGCUACAUAAUGAAAUAAUUUGCAUAUUCACACAUAAUUUGCAUACAACCAUCUCCAACUUUUAAAAAAUUGUAUGGCUUUUGUGUGGGUGAAAGACCUCUAACAGAUAAUCCUAGGGGAAAAAGUUCACUAAUACUACGUUGGGAUGUCAGCAACACAGAGCUUUCCACACACCUGUGUCCUGCCUGUGUGCCCCGGCUCAGGCCUGGGGGACACCCCAUCAGCCCUUGCCUCAGCACGGGGCCACCAUGUGGUGCAAAGUGUGCAGAGCCUGCGGUCAGGAGGACUUGAGAACCGGCAGUGACAAUGCAUCGCGCGUCCCCUCUUCUGAUCACAGCUAUGUCUUGGUGUUACAGCAAGAGACUACAGUUUCUGCCUUGCAGUUGCAGGGUCAGGCAGAGACAUAAGCUGGGAAAUACUGAGCUUGGGCUUACCCAAACAGCCUUAUUCUAGUGUAUUGUUUCCGUAACAACAUGCUGUUUUCUCCUGUGUUGGACGACUAGCAGGAUUUGAAGCCGAGACGUUCAGCUCUGCAGAGCUGAGCUCCAUCAGGGAGUUUCAUAGGAGUUUCAGUCAAGUCAGGAACGUUGUCCUUACCUUGGACGCACCCAGAGAGCUGAGUUUUGGGCUCCCAAGGGUAACAAAG
This 1545-nucleotide long non-coding RNA is filed under the name Struthio camelus australis. RNAcentral describes it as "lncRNA (ENSSCUG00000015013.1)". The record is from RNAcentral. Lineage: Eukaryota; Metazoa; Chordata; Aves; Struthioniformes; Struthionidae.